RNAcentral lists this ribosomal RNA (981 nucleotides) under human gut metagenome. Its description in RNAcentral is "bacterial LSU rRNA". It matches the Rfam family "Bacterial large subunit ribosomal RNA", at positions 1950 to 2925 of the family's 2925-position model. The record is from RNAcentral.
CCUAAGGUAGCGAAAUUCCUUGUCGGGUAAGUUCCGACCUGCACGAAUGGCGUAACGACUUCCCCACUGUCUCGACCAGGAGCUCGGCGAAAUUGCAGUACGAGUAAAGAUGCUCGUUAAGCGCAGAAGGACGAAAAGACCCCGGGACCUUUACUAUACCUUGGUAUUGGCGUUAGGCGCGGAUUGUGUAGCAUAGGCGGGAGGCUUCGAAGCAUGGGCGCCAGCCCGUGUGGAGCCGCAAGGUGAAAUACCGCUCUGUUCUCGUUUGACGUCUAACCUCGAACAGUCAUCCUGUUCAGGGACAGUGCCUGGCGGGUAGUUUAACUGGGGCGGUUGCCUCCCAAAGAGUAACGGAGGCGCUCAAAGGUCCGCUCAGCCCGGUUGGCAAUCGGGUUUCGAGUGUAAUCGCACAAGCGGGCUUGACUGCGAGAACGACGGUUCGGGCAGGGACGAAAGUCGGAGAUAGUGAUCCGGUGCCGGCGCACGGGCGCGGCAUCGCUCAACGGAUAAAAGGUACCCCGGGGAUAACAGGCUGAUCAUUCCCAAGAGUCCAUAUCGACGGGAUGGUUUGGCACCUCGAUGUCGGCUCGUCGCAUCCUGGGGCUGGAGCAGGUCCCAAGGGUUCGGCUGUUCGCCGAUUAAAGCGGCACGCGAGCUGGGUUCAGAACGUCGUGAGACAGUUUGGUCUCUAUCCUCUGCGCUCGUUGGAAUCCUGAGGAGGCCUGCCCAUAGUACGAGAGGACCUGGGUGGACGGACCUCUGGUAUGCCGGUUGUCGCGCCAGCGGCAUGGCCGGUUGGCUACGUUCGGGAGGGAUAACCGCUGAAAGCAUCUAAGCGGGAAGCCUGCUCCAAGAUUAGGAUUCCUUGACGCUCCCCGGAGCGCCUGUAGCCCGCAUGUUGAACACGUGUUCGAUAGGCCGGAGGUGGAAGUCCCGCGAGGGGUGGAGCCGACCGGUACUAACGGGCGAACGCGGCACACU